CCUACGGGGGGCUGCAGUGGGGAAUAUUGCACAAUGGGGGAAACCCUGAUGCAGCAACGCCGCGUGAGCGAUGAAGGCCUUCGGGUCGUAAAGCUCUGUCCUAAGGGAAGAAUACUGACGGUACCUUAGGAGGAAGCCCCGGCUAACUACGUGCCAGCAGCCGCGGGAAUACGUAGGGGGCUAGCGUUAUCCGGAAUUACUGGGCGUAAAGGGUGCGUAGGCGGCGCUUCAAGUCAGAGGUGAAAGGCUACGGCUCAACCGGAGUAAGUCUGUGAAACUGAAGGGACUGAGUGCAGGAGAGGAGGGUGGAACUCAAAGAGUAGCGGUGAAAUGCGUAGAUAUUGGGAAGAACAGCAGGCGCGAGGGCGGUUUGCGGGACUGUAACUGUCACUUGGGCACCAAUGAGCGGCGAGCGAACUGUAGUAGACGCCCCUCUAGUC
Molecule: ribosomal RNA, 440 nt
Filed under: uncultured bacterium
Lineage: Bacteria
Description: bacterial SSU rRNA
Rfam family: Bacterial small subunit ribosomal RNA
Source: RNAcentral